Long non-coding RNA from Bos taurus (domestic cattle), 2077 nucleotides. The record is from Ensembl. NCBI's taxonomy places the organism in Eukaryota, Metazoa, Chordata, Mammalia, Artiodactyla, Bovidae.
UAGUUCUCCAAUCAGGAAUAAAACCCAUGCCCCUGCAUUGGAUAAGUGCGGAGUCUUCUUAACCACUGGACUUCCAGGGAAGUCCCUAAGGUAUUUUUAAAGGUUGAUCAAACCUUAUCCAGUCAGGUGAGUUUUUCUUCACAAACUUGCAACCGUGAGGCUCUCAUCAAUUUGCUGUGUUGGAGAUACUGACUUUACCGUAUUUCCGUGAAUGGCCUGCAUCUUACUCAAGAUCUCGGGGAAGCUGACCAUCCAAGCUGCGCUGGCCUUUUCUGUAGUUGCUGUAUUGUUUUCCUCCCGUCUUAUUUGACCCGUCGUGGCUUUUGGUUCUGGCUCUGCAGUGUCACACCUCUCCCUGUUCUUUGAUGGAGGACAGGCAUCCAGGGAAGCCCAGCGAGGGAGCUUUCAGGUGGAGGGGUGGCCAGUCCAGAAAUUCAGAAGAGACCCCUUCUUUCCGGAGUCCAGCCUCUCCUCUCUCAAGGAUUCAUUUAUUGAGUACCUGCUGUACGCUAGCCAGCAUGAAGGUCGAAUCUGAGUAUGAUAGAGGUCCCCAUUCUGAAGCUUAUGCUCCUUGGAGGUCCUUCAAGUGAACAAGUAUCCUCAACAUGCAAGGAACCUCCUGGGUAUUGACCUUAACAGACGUGGCUAUAGUGUCUAACGGAAGUCAAACAUGUCCGAUUGAUGCGCUAGCCUCCUGCACAGAGAGCAGAGCCUCUCUCUUCUGGUCCCAUAGCCCCUCUUCCUGUGGGGCGGUGGCUGAGUCCCUGGGCCUCCGGAUGCGCAAUGUUUCUCAUCUAUAAACUGAUGAAAAGGGCUACCCAGCCCUUUUCAGUCUACAGCAAGUCUGAGGAGCACAGUUUCACCCGUUCAUUCAUUCAUCCGACCAAUCCAUGGUGGAGCCUGCUGAGUACCAGCCCUGGAUCCCUUGUGAGGAAGGAGGUUGGGGGUCGGGGACUGCCAUCCGGGAACCAGGAACCCAGGAGGAAAUAGACCGACACACAAAAUGAACAAGCCACGGAACCAUUUCUCAAGGGACUCCUUCCUCCAUUCUUGGCUUCCAGCCUUUUUCCUUUCCUAAUACUAAAAUUCUUUUCUGAAACACAAAGCUGGACAUCACUGCCUUGCUCAGAAACUGGCUCCCUGUUCAAUAUAAUAAAGUCCAGUUUCUCUGUCCUGGACGUUUCUCUAUUCCGGCCGCUCCAUCAAGCUGCUUCCGGUGUUUUGAACUCAUAGCAGGUGGCCUUGGCUGGGCAUCAGGUGCACUGCCAAGUGCUUUAUCUGUUCAUCUUUGCCACAGGCCAAGAGCUCCUAUCACUACCCUCUGCUUAUCGACGGGGAAACCAAGGCAGGGAGGAGCCAAGGAACUGGCCUGAGGCUGCACAGCUUGUAAAGAGCAGGUCCCUGGAGCUCAGACCCAGGUCCCACUUACGGCAGAGCCUGUGUCCUUGGCUUCUGUGCCACGCUGCCACCUAGCUUCAGGCUUCUGCACCUCUGCUCACAUCAGGUGUGGGGGCCGUCUGGUGAAAUCUCAUCAGUUACUCACGAGGCAGCUCAGAGGUCCUGAGCACCAGACUGCCCCUCACAUCCAUGGCCCUGCUCUGCCACCCCCAGCCCUCGAAGGGCCCCUGCCUAGGUCAAGCCUUAUCACGUGUGGCGGAGUUCAUACUCAUUUGCCUCCCUGAACACGUGACCAGGAUCUCAUCCACACCUGUUGCGGCCUGAGCUAAACACAGGUUUGCUGAAUGGCAGGAAAUGAACAGCGCAGGAGAGAGUGCCCUGCACGCUGGAAAGCCUCAGAGAAUCAGAAGUCAACAGAUGCUUUUAAAAUGCCUUUAUAAAAUGCAAACGGAUAUAGGAGAUGAAAUGUGCCUGAGCAUUUUUUGGUCUUGAUUUUAGUAUUACAAUUCAGGAUGGCUUCUGCCAUUUUAACCAGGGUUCACUAUCUGGGGAAGUGCUUAUGUUACUUACUGAGAAAGAGACUUGAAACUGUCCUGACACAGACUUUGCACAAAGGCAACCUUGAGGGACUUCCACGGUGGUCCACUGGCCGGGACUCUGUGUUGCCAAUGCAGGGGAC